This is a long non-coding RNA of Mastomys coucha (southern multimammate mouse), 716 nucleotides long. RefSeq lists it as uncharacterized. The record is from RefSeq and is a predicted model, not a curated record. The transcript has 4 exons. NCBI's taxonomy places the organism in Eukaryota, Metazoa, Chordata, Mammalia, Rodentia, Muridae.
UUGUGUACCCGCCCUUCCUCCAUCCCCAUGUGUUUCUCUGCAACGUGUGAGCCAGGCAUGCUUCCUGCUGCAUGAAAUUCCAAGUGACUUCCCGAUGAUGUUCAUGAGGAUUUACAAUUGCCUUUCUUGGAGACAGUCCUCCUGAAAAAUGUCCCUUUGUACUUCCUGCCAAAUCUCCCAGCAGGCUUCCUGUGUGGGCUCUGUCAUGAAGGAUCGUCCUUGGACACCUUCCCCGCUUUAAGGAUCCUAGGAGGAAGACUGGAUGCUCAGGAAUUCUGGAAUGAGUUGAUGUUUUGACUCACACUCUUUUGUGCAGGCUGUACGUGGAAGUAACAUGAUGCUCACGAUGGGGGAACAAAGUCAGUGCUUCUGGAGAGUCACCAGAGAGACAUUCAGAAAGAGGAAGAUAUAUUGUUGGUGACAUGGGAAGAUAGAGAAAAGGUCUCUGAGCCUGCUGGAAGCCUGAUUGAUGAAGAACCAAGAGCUUGGAGCUUGAGUCCUGGUUUUGAACCCUGUCUCAGAUGCCUAGCAGCUUCCUGAUCCUGGCAAGUGGGAUCACUUCAGCCUGACACUGGGAACAACUGUCUUCUGGUCCAAAUCGUAUUACAAUGAGAUCUCUCAAAGAAAGUCCAGCCGAGUAAUGAAGAGUGAUGUUUACACGGGGCUUCGUGGUGGAUUCCAGGAGCUGUGACUGAGCCCACAGACUGUGUAUUUCA